GAGGCUAUAGCUUAGUGGUAGAGUGUGUGCUUAGCAUGCGUGAGGUCCUGGGUUCAAUCCCCAGUACCUCCA
Molecule: transfer RNA, 72 nt
Organism: Camelus ferus (Wild Bactrian camel)
Lineage: Eukaryota; Metazoa; Chordata; Mammalia; Artiodactyla; Camelidae
Rfam family: tRNA
About the family: Transfer RNA (tRNA) molecules are approximately 80 nucleotides in length. Their secondary structure includes four short double-helical elements and three loops (D, anti-codon, and T loops). Further hydrogen bonds mediate the characteristic L-shaped molecular structure. tRNAs have two regions of fundamental functional importance: the anti-codon, which is responsible for specific mRNA codon recognition, and the 3' end, to which the tRNAs corresponding amino acid is attached (by aminoacyl-tRNA synthetases). tRNAs cope with the degeneracy of the genetic code in two manners: having more than one tRNA (with a specific anti-codon) for a particular amino acid; and 'wobble' base-pairing, i.e. permitting non-standard base-pairing at the 3rd anti-codon position.
Source: Rfam